This 519-nucleotide ribosomal RNA is filed under the name uncultured bacterium. Its description in RNAcentral is "bacterial SSU rRNA". It matches the Rfam family "Bacterial small subunit ribosomal RNA", at positions 1 to 518 of the family's 1533-position model. The record is from RNAcentral.
GUUUGAGUUAUGGCUCAGGAUGAACGCGUAGCUACAGGCUUAACACAUGCAAGUCGAGGGGCAGCAUGGGAGUUGCUUGCAACUCCGAUGGCGACCGGCGCACGGGUGAGUAACGCGUAUCCAACCUCCCCCACAGUAGAGGAUAGCCCGGCGAAAGUCGGAUUAAUACUCUAUGUUGUAUUUCGAGGACAUCUGACGAAUACCAAAGGUUUACCGCUAUGGGAUGGGGAUGCGUCUGAUUAGGUAGUCGGCGGGGUAACGGCCCACCGAGCCAUCGAUCAGUAGGGGUUCUGAGAGGAAGGUCCCCCACAUUGGUACUGAGACACGGACCAAACUCCUACGGGAGGCAGCAGUGAGGAAUAUUGGUCAAUGGGCGCGAGCCUGAACCAGCCAAGUAGCGUGCAGGACGACUGCCCUAUGGGUUGUAAACUGCUUUUAUGCGGGAAUAAAGUCAGGUACGUGUACCUGUUUGUAUGUACCGCAUGAAUAAGGACCGGCUAAUUCCGUGCCAGCCGCUGC